Molecule: ribosomal RNA, 305 nt
Filed under: uncultured bacterium
Lineage: Bacteria
Description: bacterial SSU rRNA
Rfam family: Bacterial small subunit ribosomal RNA
Source: RNAcentral
CCCUACGGGGCGCAGCAGUAGGGAAUCUUCCACAAUGGGCGAAAGCCUGGUGGAGCAACGCCGCGUGGGUGAAGAAGGUCCUCGGAUCGUAAAACCCUGUUGUUAGAGAAGAAAGUGCGUGAGAGUAACUGUUCACGUUUCGACGGUAUCUAACCAGAAAGCCACGGCUAACUACGUGCCAGCAGCCGCGGUAAUACGUAGGUGGCAAGUGUUAUCCGGAUUUAUUGGGCGUAAAGGGAACGCAGGCGGUCUUUUAAGCCUGAUGUGAAAGCCUUCGGCUUAACCGGAGUAGUGCAUUGGAAACU